Molecule: long non-coding RNA, 990 nt
Filed under: Ovis aries (sheep)
Lineage: Eukaryota; Metazoa; Chordata; Mammalia; Artiodactyla; Bovidae
Description: lncRNA (ENSOARG00000026893.1)
Source: RNAcentral
AUGAACACAAAAUGUAACACACGACACUUCUCUCCCCCAGCUACCAAUUUGUCUUGCUCUUUAUUAGAAGGUACUGUGAUGGGAAAUCCUCUAAGAUGUUGCCGAGGUCUGGGGGAGUUAUGUUGCAGGAGGCUAAAAGGUCUGGCUGCCAAGAAGGGGACGAGAAAAAUAAGUGCAAUUUUAUGGCUUGGCUCUGCUGAGAUUUUAAAGUGGGAGGACUUUCUGAAACUCCUGUGCAUUUCAGCAGGACACAUCUAUGGACCAGCGCCUUUACAAACACCAUCUGCUGCUGCUGCUAAGUCGCUUCAGUCAUGUCCGACUCUCUGCGACCCCACAGACGGCAGCCCACCAGGCUCCCCUGUCCCUGGGAUUCUCCAGGCAAGAACACUGGAGUGGGUUGCCAUUUCCUUCUCCAAUGCAUGAAAGUGAAAAGUGAAAGUGAAGUCGCUCAGUCAUGUCCGACUCUUCACAACCCCAUGGACUGUAGCCCACCAGGCUCCUCCGUCCAUGGGAUUUUCCAGGCAAGAGUACUGGAGUGGAGUGCCAUCGCCUUCUCCAACAUACAUCAUCUAGUUUAACCAAUAUGGCUAUCCUAUGAGAAAGUUGCUAAUAAUUUCAUAUAUCAGAAAAAUAACUCACAGUACUUUCUGUGGUCCCAGUUCUGUUCGGAGAUGACCAACAAACCCUUCGACUCAAGUCUGAGUUAAUCGAAGGGAAGGACUAUCCUUGGUCCACAAGAAAAGAUUCAUUCCCAUCUCUUCAUUUGUUAAAUAUUGAAUUUAUUGUCUGGACAGCCUAUGAUAAAACCUUGGCUAAUCGUCUCAGAGUUGAUUAAUUUUUCGUGUACUUUGGGUGUUAUUCACUUGGCACUUAAUAUACAGAGAUAUGCUUUUGCCAGAAACAUAUGUGGAAGAUUCAGGCAACACCUGAUUCCUUUCUCGGCUGUGGUUUGGCAGAUCCUGACGUGUGAAAUUGUUGUAUUUCAAGGAA